This 516-nucleotide ribosomal RNA is filed under the name uncultured Tumebacillus sp. Its description in RNAcentral is "bacterial SSU rRNA". It matches the Rfam family "Bacterial small subunit ribosomal RNA", at positions 406 to 915 of the family's 1533-position model. Lineage: Bacteria; Bacillati; Bacillota; Bacilli; Caryophanales; Alicyclobacillaceae. The record is from RNAcentral.
UGAUGACGGCCUUCGGGUUGUAAAACUCUGUCUUCUGCGAUGAACAAGCCUGUGAGUGAAAAGCUCAAGCCCUGACGGUAUGAAGGAGGAAGCCCCGGCUAACUACGUGCCACCAGCCGGGGUAAUACUUGGGGGGCAAGCGUUGUCCGGAUUCUCUGGGCGUAAAGCGCGCCCAGGCGGUUCUCUGCGUCCGGGGUGAAAACCCAGAGCUCAACUCUGGGACUGCCUUGGAUACGGGGUGACUUGAGGAUCGGAGAGGCAAGGGGAAUUCCACGUGUAGCGGUGAAAUGCGUAGAGAUGUGGAGGAACACCUGUGGCGAAGGCGCCUUGCUGGCCGAUUUCUGACGCUGAGGCGCGAAAGCGUGGGGAGCAAACAGGAUUAGAUACCCUGGUAGUCCACGCCGUAAACGAUGAGUGCUAGGUGUUGGGGGGUACCACCCUCAGUGCCGAAGCUAACGCAUUAAGCACUCCGCCUGGGGAGUACGGUCGCAAGACUGAAACUCAAAGGAAUUGACG